Oryzias latipes (Japanese medaka) is the source of this 1310-nucleotide non-coding RNA. Lineage: Eukaryota; Metazoa; Chordata; Actinopteri; Beloniformes; Adrianichthyidae. The record is from RefSeq and is a predicted model, not a curated record.
UAUUUUUGAAAACAUUUCUAGCAGUAUAUAUCCCCUUUAUUUUCGUAAUAUUGCAGACAUGAAGUUGUUUGUUUGUUACGUUCAACUUUUCCUCAAAGGAUCUGAAAGCGUCUGAUCUUUUCCAUUCAUAUAUGCGGGCUGACGUUGGUCACGUGACGUGCCUUUCUCUUUUUUUCCUGUGGAAAAUCUCGUAAAAAGGUACGUUGCGAUUUACUAAUUUGUUUUAUUUACAUUUCUAGGGACCCGUGUAUAGGUUUUCUCGUUCCGUGUUGCUGUUGCGGCGAUCAGGCUUUGAUUGACAUGUGACAACAAACCGGAAAAAUGUUGAGUUCAGGGACGGACCAAAGAGUUCUUUAAAUUGAUUUUUCUGCAUUUUAAUUUAUUUACACUACGAGUCUAAUGGUGUGUGAUAAAAAAAACUAUAAAUAUUAUGAUAAAUGAGAUGAAACAAUUAUUUUGAUGGAGUUUAUAAAAUAUUAGGAUCUAUUAUAUUCUUUUUUCUUUAACUGUCAAUUUUUUGACGUAUCUCAUAUAUUAUAGUAUUACAAUGAAGUGCUCUAAUUUAUCUGUUAAAAAAGGUUUCAUCACUGUUUCCUGUAGUAAUUCUCAAUAAUGUUUUAAAUAGGAUAUAUUAAAUAGGAUAUAUUAUCUAAAGUAAACAGGCUUUUAAGCCUUCAAUUUGCCCCAAUUGACAUGAAGUGCGCAUUUCGAAAAGCCAGUGAACGCAGCGUCAUACGGGCACCCCCACCCCACUCCCCCGGAAACCCCCGGGAUGAACCCGCAGGAAGGCGCGCGGCUGAAGAACUCUUGGACAGCUGGAAGGAUAAACGUCCAUCUUAAAUUGAAAAGGCCGCAGGAUCACGGUGAAGGCCUCUUCUGUAUAAAGGACGGGGGCGGAAACGUCACGUGGUCUCCGCAGAGGUUAUGGUGCCAUGGUAAAGAACUAAAGGCUCUAUGAUGUCAUGCUGCUGACCAAACUGUGGUUGGUGAAGUCCAGCAGCACUGCAGGUCCUUGAAGUGUGGUUGAAGAGCUCUCCUCCCAGCUUUUGGAAGGUUCUGCCCCACAAAGCCAGGAGGUUUCUCUUUGUGAUCUGCAUGGAUGUCCAGGGCUUGUGGCAUUUAUGUGUUUUCUUCUUCAUUUCAUUUUUAGGCAGCACAGAGUCAUUGAUGGAGAGAGAACAUGAGGGACUAAUUGUCUGCUGAUGAGGAGACUUUCUGCAGUUCAAGCCCCAGCUCCACCCCUAAAAAAAGGCUUAUAUAAAGGAAAACCUCAUUUCAACUUUGUACCAAUAAAUGACUUUUAAUUGAAA